Long non-coding RNA from Gallus gallus (chicken), 2946 nucleotides. RefSeq lists it as uncharacterized. The transcript is spliced from 3 exons. Lineage: Eukaryota; Metazoa; Chordata; Aves; Galliformes; Phasianidae. The record is from RefSeq and is a predicted model, not a curated record.
GGCCCGCCCGCGCGGGGCUCGGGGCCGCUCCCUCGGCCCGGCCUCCCGCCGCCGGAUUCUCCGCUGGGUGCCGCCACGGGCUUGGGGGCGGCCGUGGCCUGUGUGGGCUGGGUCCCGCGGCCUCACUUCUGCCACCGGGCACUUGGUGGCUGUGUUCGGUGCGAUCUCUUUGAAACUGCACGUGGAAGCAGUCGGGGAAAGGUUGGCCGAGCAGCAGUAAUGAAGAGAAAGUGAUGUGGUGCAAAACCAGUACUUGGAGUGCCUCCUGUGAAGAGGUUGUGGUGUAGGAAAGGUUAACAGCAGUCAUUUGCACUGAGUCUUUUCCCAGGCAAGUUACUUGAAGUUACCUGGACAAAAUGCUGUAAAAAGUACUCAUACAUAACUGUGCUGUCCUUCAGAACAUAUGGAAAAAACUUCUGUCCUUCAAGACUGGUGGCCUUCCAUCUAAAUCGAUCUACUCACAUACAUAAAACAAAAUGCAUACGAUUUCUUCUAGGAUUGGGACCCAAAUGCUGUGCUUUCAACUUGUAGAAUCAUCAUUUUCAGAUCCUGCAAAGAAGCAUCAAGCUCAAAGCAGGGACAGGAGCUGUCAGAGACCAUAUGUGCUACACUACACCUCUCCUUUGGUGCCCCACAAGAGAGAGUGCAUCAGCACAGUCCAGCAGACAUCAGACCUUGUGUCAGUUUUCUGAGGUCAGUGAGAUAGCUGUGGCUUCUAGGGAGUAUCUAGAGCUUUUCACAUAUAUUCAGUGUCACUGCCCUACUAGGAAUGAUCAUAAUAUUGACAAAAGCACUCCUAUGCUGGUAACCAUGACAACUUCCAUUGAACAAAGUUUUUCAUGAAAUAGCAUGUUUUACAAGGCAGAGGAAACAUUUACUUUGAAGUACCACUUUUGUACCCACUGGUGUUCAAAGAGCAAGGACUGAGCCCCUGUGGUAGCAGUAAUAAAUAUUAUAGCAGCUUUUAUGUGUAGACACUUCUGAAGGGAAAAAUGAUCGUUGGGUUUGUUUUUUUUUUCUUCUAUUGCAUCUGGUCCUGACAGUAAAACAUUUUAUUCUGGAAGGCAGUUAUGUUUAAAACACUGCUGGAUCUCCAAGGGAGAUUUUAUUUCUGAAUUGCUUUACCACAUUUUAAAAAAUCCAGUUUUGAAUUACCUGUGACUUGAAUUUAUAAUCCUAAGAUUGAUAAUCAGAUGGGCUUAUUGGGUUUAAUUUUUUAAUUAAAACUCUUCAUUCAGUAUUUAUGGGAUUUGCUAACUGGUCUAUCAAGUAAACAUCAGGAGUGCCUGCUUAAUUCAUAAUCUAAGCUACAGUAAACAUCACAAAGUAGAUCACAGAAAUAAAAUUUAAGUAUUUUUUCCUAGAAGAUAUUUGUGUCUGUUUCCACUUCUGACAUCUACAAACAGAAGUAGAUUUAUGGAUGCAGAGAGAAACGUUAAAGUCUCUUUUGCACUGGCUGAUGCUGCAGGAGAUCCAGUGUCCGCUGGCUGUGUCUUGCUGGGUUUGCAGACUUCCUUUCCCCACCCUCAUUAGACUGAGUCUAUAACCAUUCCUUUUACUGGUGUGGUGGGAGAAGAAAUGUUAAAAUAUCCUAUUGCUCAUGUGUGCAGUAAUCUUGUAUACAUGAUGCCUCUACCUGUGCUGAAGGCAUUAGGAAGCAGUGAUGUCCAGUGAAGCAUUGUGAGUCAGGAACAUCUUGCUUCAAAGGCAUCAUCUCUAGUGAUCAUUGUGGGGAGAGGCAGGUGGGAAAGAUAAAUACUGGUUGAUAUAAAAGCCAGCUUCUUUUAAAUAUUGGCAAGGAAUGAAAGCCUUGUACAGAAGCCACGAAAAGAACUGGGACUUACAAGGAGGAGAAAUAUUCCUCCAAGGUAUGGGCCAGAUACUUAUUUAACAGAUACUGUGAUAACAGAUCUCCUGGAAAAAUAGCUACUUCCACAGGCUAAUAGGUAAAAUAUAUACAGGAUGAGCCUACAAAUUAUUAUGCAAUUAAAGGCAUUUACUCUGCUAAGCAGAAUGGGCUUUUGCAAGACAAAUGGAAAUGAAAUGGAAAACAUUACUUCUAAACUUACUCUUUUUCUCUGUUUGUUGCUGGAUUUUUCCCCAGAGUUGGGUCCACACAUCUCUCUAGCAAAUAUAUCCUUGGCCAAUCUUUAGAAGAGCCGAAAUGGGCAGGAAAAGGAUUCCAACAGCUAUUCCCAAGGCACCUGACAUGUAGCAGCUAAAAGAAAGACAAUAGCACGUGCAAGACACUCUUAAUCCAAAUUCCAGUAAUGGAGUUACAUGAUAGGCUGCAGCCUCUUGCCUCUUAAUUUAUGAAGGAUCAAGUGGUAUUAGAGGUAGUCAGCCAUGCAUCAUAAAGUGCUUGUCACAGCAUGUCAGCAUGUAAAAAAAAAAGCCAGUCCACAGAGAGUGGGGAAUAAAGUUGUCAUCUCUUUAUCUAGUUGUUCAUGGGAAAGCUGGUCAUCAUAUUCUUGUCGGCGAGGGAGGAAUGUUGUUUAUGCUCAAUGAAAUGGUGUGUGACUUUCAUGAAAUGGUUUAGACAUGGAUUCUGGGCAAAAUAGAAAUGCAUGAAAUCAAUGAAACAGUAACCUUCAUUGUCUGAAAACACACUGUUAAGAUUAACGACCCUCUUCCUUAUUGUCUAUCUGCUCACCAAAUGGCACUAAUAAGGAAAAUGUUAAAUCUAAUUUUGAAUGCAUACAUCUUUUAUACUCUCACAUAUAUGUGUGCACUUUGGCAUUUAUAGGACUAUUUUCUGUGGCCUAUUACUGCACGGUGUUUUAUAGAUCUGCAUUGUAUUAUUUGGAUAUGCAUUACAGACAGUACUCCAUAUUUGCAAAAUCUUUUAAAUAGCUUCUUUUUGUCUAUUUUCCAUGAUAAUACCGUAGCUGUGAUACAAAACCCCUUAAGAAAUACCUGAGAUCCAAAAAAAUAAAUAAAAAUAAA